RNAcentral lists this long non-coding RNA (525 nucleotides) under Setaria italica (foxtail millet). RNAcentral describes it as "long non-coding RNA (SITA_LNC003880)". Lineage: Eukaryota; Viridiplantae; Streptophyta; Magnoliopsida; Poales; Poaceae. The record is from RNAcentral.
CUCCGUCCCCUUCAUCCUCCAUCUCUCCGGUGAGAUCCAGGCGCGCUCGCUCUCCUCCCGGCUCGCCAGCUUCACUUCUCCUCUCUCGUUCUCAUCCUCAACCAUUCCAGCUGCGACAUCGGAACUCGCCGGCCCCGCUCCUCCCUCACCUCCUCCGGGCGCCACCACAUUCAGCAGAAGCCGGCGGAUCUAGGGGGCCCUCAGGCGGCACCCUGAUUUGCUGAACGGUGCCUGAUAUGCACCCCUCCAACCGGAUCUGCAAUCUAUCAAUGUCCAGUAGCUUCUGGGAUGAUUCAGAGAUUGCCAUGCUUUCAUCGGUGAUCUUCUUGGCCGCGUGCUUUCAUCAGUGAUCUGCUUACAUUGGUCCAAAACUCCCAUGCCAUGUAUAUGUUCAAUUACAAGCUUAUCUGUACAAUACAUACUCUAGUUUCCAGAACGAAGAGUCGAGAGCAAGCUGUAAUUUCGUUUUUCAUUUUUCCUCCCUCUGGAACCCUAUGAUUUUUCCUUGAACGAAGAGUACACGUG